AUCAGACGAACGCUGGCGGCGUGCCUAAUACAUGCAAGUUGAGCGCUGAAGGUUGGUACUUGUACCGACUGGAUGAGCAGCGAACGGGUGAGUAACGCGUGGGGAAUCUGCCUUUGAGCGGGGGACAACAUUUGGAAACGAAUGCUAAUACCGCAUAAAAACUUUAAACACAAGUUUUAAGUUUGAAAGAUGCAAUUGCAUCACUCAAAGAUGAUCCCGCGUUGUAUUAGCUAGUUGGUGAGGUAAAGGCUCACCAAGGCGAUGAUACAUAGCCGACCUGAGAGGGUGAUCGGCCACAUUGGGACUGAGACACGGCCCAAACUCCUACGGGAGGCAGCAGUAGGGAAUCUUCGGCAAUGGACGAAAGUCUGACCGAGCAACGCCGCGUGAGUGAAGAAGGUUUUCGGAUCGUAAAACUCUGUUGGUAGAGAAGAACGUUGGUGAGAGUGGAAAGCUCAUCAAGUGACGGUAACUACCCAGAAAGGGACGGCUAACUACGUGCCAGCAGCCGCGGUAAUACGUAGGUCCCGAGCGUUGUCCGGAUUUAUUGGGCGUAAAGCGAGCGCAGGUGGUUUAUUAAGUCUGGUGUAAAAGGCAGUGGCUCAACCAUUGUAUGCAUUGGAAACUGGUAGACUUGAGUGCAGGAGAGGAGAGUGGAAUUCCAUGUGUAGCGGUGAAAUGCGUAGAUAUAUGGAGGAACACCGGUGGCGAAAGCGGCUCUCUGGCCUGUAACUGACACUGAGGCUCGAAAGCGUGGGGAGCAAACAGGAUUAGAUACCCUGGUAGUCCACGCCGUAAACGAUGAGUGCUAGAUGUAGGGAGCUAUAAGUUCUCUGUAUCGCAGCUAACGCAAUAAGCACUCCGCCUGGGAUAGCGCUGUGCUGUGUAAUUAAGU
RNAcentral lists this ribosomal RNA (895 nucleotides) under Lactococcus lactis subsp. lactis. RNAcentral describes it as "bacterial SSU rRNA". It matches the Rfam family "Bacterial small subunit ribosomal RNA", at positions 23 to 873 of the family's 1533-position model. The record is from RNAcentral. Lineage: Bacteria; Bacillati; Bacillota; Bacilli; Lactobacillales; Streptococcaceae.